AGCAGCCGCGGUAAUUCCAGCUCCAAUAGCGUAUAUUAAAGUUGUUGCAGUUAAAAAGCUCGUAGUUGAACUUCGGGGUUUACUCAUUGGUCAGGCUUAAUUGUCUGUACUGGUGAGAUGAAUCUCUACCUUCUGAGGAACUUUCAUGCCAUUUAUUUGGUGCGAUUGGAAAUCAGGACUGUUACUUUGAAAAAAUUAGAGUGUUUAAAGCAGGCUAACGUCUGAAUACAUUGGCAUGGAAUAAUGAAAUAGGACGGAUUGAUUCUAUUUCGUUGGUUUCUAGGGUCACCGUAAUGAUUAAUAGGGAUAGUUGGGGGCAUUAGUAUUCAAUUGUCAGAGGUGAAAUUCUUGGAUUUAUUGAAGACUAACUACUGCGAAAGCAUUUGCCAAGGAUGUUUUCAUUAAUCAAGAACGAAAGUUAGGGGAUCGAAGACGAUCAGAUACCGUCGUAGUCUUAACCAUAAACUAUGCCGACUAGGGAUCGGACGAAGUUAAUUUUAUAAUGACGCGUUCGGCACCU
Molecule: ribosomal RNA, 520 nt
Filed under: uncultured Diversispora
Lineage: Eukaryota; Fungi; Glomeromycota; Glomeromycetes; Diversisporales; Diversisporaceae
Description: SSU rRNA
Rfam family: Eukaryotic small subunit ribosomal RNA
Source: RNAcentral